AGUGAACGCUGGCGGUAGGCCUAACACAUGCAAGUCGAACGGCAGCACAGUAAGAGCUUGCUCUUACGGGUGGCGAGUGGCGGACGGGUGAGGAAUACAUCGGAAUCUACUUUUUCGUGGGGGAUAACGUAGGGAAACUUACGCUAAUACCGCAUACGACCUACGGGUGAAAGCAGGGGAUCUUCGGACCUUGCGCGAUUGAAUGAGCCGAUGUCGGAUUAGCUAGUUGGCGGGGUAAAGGCCCACCAAGGCGACGAUCCGCAGCUGGUCUGAGAGGAUGAUCAGCCACACUGGAACUGAGACACUGUCCAGACUCCUACGGGAGGCAGCAGUGGGGAAUAUUGGACAAUGGGCGCAAGCCUGAUCCAGCCAUACCGCGUGGGUGAAGAAGGCCUUCGGGUUGUAAAGCCCUUUUGUUGGGAAAGAAAAGCAGCAGGUUAAUACCCCGCUGUUCUGACGGUACCCAAAGAAUAAGCACCGGCUAACUUCGUG
This 492-nucleotide ribosomal RNA is filed under the name uncultured bacterium. RNAcentral describes it as "partial 16S ribosomal RNA". It matches the Rfam family "Bacterial small subunit ribosomal RNA", at positions 29 to 507 of the family's 1533-position model. The record is from RNAcentral.